UUUUUUAGUGUUGCAAAGAAAAUUCACGAACCUUUACCCAUUCCGAAUUAAAGUGUUAAAAAUUUUUCCGACGACGAUACUAUAAAAGAAAUUUUAUUGGAAAAAUAGUCGAAUGCUAAAAUU
This 123-nucleotide ribosomal RNA is filed under the name Codium fragile. Lineage: Eukaryota; Viridiplantae; Chlorophyta; Ulvophyceae; Bryopsidales; Codiaceae. The record is from RNAcentral.